This 407-nucleotide ribosomal RNA is filed under the name uncultured bacterium. RNAcentral's name for it is "bacterial SSU rRNA". It matches the Rfam family "Bacterial small subunit ribosomal RNA", at positions 28 to 490 of the family's 1533-position model. The record is from RNAcentral.
GACGAACGCUGGCGGCAGGCUUAACACAUGCAAGUCGAGCGCCCCGCAAGGGGAGCGGCAGACGGGUGAGUAACGCGUGGGAACGUGCCUUUCGGUUCGGAACAACUGAGGGGAAACUUCAGCUAAAACCGGAUACGCCUUCGGGAAGUUACGCCGAAGAUCGGCCGCGUUAGAUUAGCUAGUUGGUGGGGUAAAGGCCUACCAAGGCGACGAUCUAUAGCUGUUCUGAGAGGAAGACCGAGCCACGCUGGGACUGAGACACGGCCCAGACUCCUACGGGAGGCAGCAGUGGGGAAUAUUGGACAAUGGGCGCAAGCCUGAUCCAGCCAUGCCGCGUGGAUGAAGAAGGCCCUAGGGUUGUAAAGUCCUUUCGCCGCUGAAGAUAAUGACGGUAAGCGGAGAAGAAG